UAGGGAAUCUUCCGCAAUGGACGCAAGUCUGACGGAGCAACGCCGCGUGAGUGAAGAAGGAUUUCGGUUCGUAAAACUCUGUUGUUAGAGAAGAACAGCGCAUAGAGUAACUGUUAUGCGUGUGACGGUAUCUAACCAGAAAGCCACGGCUAACUACGUGCCAGCAGCCGCGGUAAUACGUAGGUGGCAAGCGUUGUCCGGAUUUAUUGGGCGUAAAGCGAGCGCAGGCGGUCAAUUAAGUCUGAUGUGAAAGCCCCCGGCUCAACCGGGGAGGGGCAUUGGAAACUGGUUGACUUGAGUGCAGAAGAGGAGAGUGGAAUUCCAGGUGUAGCGGUGAAAUGCGUAGAUAUAUGGAGGAACACCAGUGGCGAAGGCGACUCUCUGGUCUGUAGCUGACGCUGAGGCUCGAAAGCGUGGGUAGCAAACAGG
RNAcentral lists this ribosomal RNA (429 nucleotides) under Bacteroidota bacterium. Its description in RNAcentral is "Bacteroidetes bacterium partial 16S ribosomal RNA". It matches the Rfam family "Bacterial small subunit ribosomal RNA", at positions 355 to 776 of the family's 1533-position model. The record is from RNAcentral. Lineage: Bacteria; Pseudomonadati; Bacteroidota.